AAGGUAUAAAAUUUAAAAUAAAAAGGGAAUAGGUGCAGAGACUCAAUGGAAACUGUUCUAACAAAUAGAGUUGACUACGUUGCAUCAGUAGCUGAAAUCUUCCAAUGAAUGGAAACUGUUCUAACGAAUAGAGUUGACUAUGUUGCAUAAGUAGCUGGAAUCUUCCAACGAAUAGAGUUGACUACAUUGCGUUAGUAGCUGAAAUCCGUUGGUGCAGCAUUUAGCCCCGCAUAGCACUUAGCUCUUACACUUUCGACUGACAUUUAGCUUUUGAUAUCAAUUGUAAUAACUCGACCCGCUAGCAAUAAUAACUCAUUGGGUCCAAACCACCGACCCAAAAUACUUAAGUCCAAUUGUCAUUACUGACGUGUAGACAUCAUAUAUUCUAAUCAAAAUCAUUUUUCCAUCAAAUGUGAGACUAUUAGAGCAUUACAAUUGGUGAAUUAAUUGUAUUCUUUAUUUGAAUAACCAAUGGCUGAGAUUAAUUCUGACAGAUUUGCAGAAAAU
This 507-nucleotide long non-coding RNA is filed under the name Ananas comosus (pineapple). Its description in RNAcentral is "long non-coding RNA (ACOM_LNC025288)". The record is from RNAcentral. Lineage: Eukaryota; Viridiplantae; Streptophyta; Magnoliopsida; Poales; Bromeliaceae.